GCUAAAUACUCUCAAGUCUAGAUGGCAGAAUCUACCACCUGAUUGGAAGGGUUUGGAUCCAUGCGGAAGUAAUUGGGAAGGGAUCAAGUGUACCAACUCACGCGUAACCACCUUGGAAAUGGCAAGCAUGGGUGUUAAAACUACUGACAUUGGAGAGAUUACAUCACUUUCCAUGUUGCAACACCUAGAACUUUCAUUCAACAAAGGGAUUAAAGCCGUUCUUCCACCAUCUAUUCAGAAUUUGAAGAGCUUAACGACGUU
Molecule: long non-coding RNA, 261 nt
Organism: Helianthus annuus (common sunflower)
Lineage: Eukaryota; Viridiplantae; Streptophyta; Magnoliopsida; Asterales; Asteraceae
Exons: 3
Source: RefSeq, a predicted model, not a curated record